This 592-nucleotide long non-coding RNA is filed under the name Equus caballus (horse). RNAcentral describes it as "lncRNA (ENSECAG00000056569.1)". The record is from RNAcentral. Lineage: Eukaryota; Metazoa; Chordata; Mammalia; Perissodactyla; Equidae.
UGAAGAAAAGUUCUGGAAUUGGAUAGUAGUGAUGACUGUACUACAAGGUGAAGGUGCUUAAUAUCCCUGACUGUACACUUAAAAAUUGUUAAAAUGGAAGCCCAUGCUGACCCACUGGAUGAAACUGGAUGUCUGUGCUCUAUGCUUUCACACGAGCAUGCUUCACCACCUCAGCUAUAGUACUGACCACAUGGUGUUGCAGGGGUUCUCAACUUCUGCACAACUGGCAAUAUCAGCACAGGGAGAUCUCCAGGCUCUCUUUGGAUUUCCCUCCCUGUGUUGACCCUGGAAACUUUCUCCAAGCAGAGAAGAAAAAGAGCAUGGACGCUCAUUCAUGGGGCAUUUACAUGACUCAGGUCAAGCAAUGGCGUGUGUCACUCCUGCUCAUAGUCUGUCCUGUGAGCACACCUGGACGGUGCAGGAGGCUGGAGCAGGACAUCCAAGUCUGUGUCCAGAAUGAAGAGACCACUGACUUGGUGAGAAGCCAGCCAGUCUAUGCUAAAGGGAAACUGAGGCCAUAAAAAAACAGUAAAUGUACAAAAUAGUUUGAGUUUAAUGAUGACUUCCAUGAAGAAAAUAAACAAUGUCUGUG